AUUCGGAGCUAACAAAAACAAACC
Molecule: non-coding RNA, 24 nt
Filed under: Cricetulus griseus (Chinese hamster)
Lineage: Eukaryota; Metazoa; Chordata; Mammalia; Rodentia; Cricetidae
Source: RNAcentral